CCCGAAAGUGGUGAGGAAUCAGGGAAGAUGCUAACUUGACUUAGUUAAAGCUAAGAGGGCCGGUAAAACUCGUGCCAGCCACCGCGGUUAUACGAGAGGCCCAAGUUGACAGACACCGGCGUAAAGCGUGGUUAAGGAAAACUAAAACUAAAGCCGAACACCUUCAGGGCAGUUAUACGCAUCCGAAGGCACGAAGCCCCACCACGAAAAUGGCUUUAUGAGCCCCUGACCCCACGAAAGCUAUGACACAAACUGGGAUUAGAUACCCCACUAUGCCUAGCCGUGAACAUUGAUAGAAUUCUACACCCUCUAUCCGCCUGGGUACUACAAGCAUUAGCUUGAAACCCAAAGGACUUGGCGGUACUUUAGAUCCCCCUAGAGGAGCCUGUUCUAUAACCGAUGACCCCCGUUCAACCUCACCCUCCCUUGUUUAUGCCGCCAAUUUACCGCCCUCUUCAGCUUACCCUGUGAAGGUCUAAUAAUAAGCAAAAUUGGGACCGCCCAUAACGUCAUGUCUAGGGCUAGUUGUGGAAAAAAGUUGGGCCCGUCACCACCUCCACGGGGGUGACCACCUUCACCGAAUCUCUGAUGAGGAUAAUGGUUGCAUUCGGUUGAACGCCCUGUGCCUGACCAACUGCCCCACACAAUGCCACGUCUAUUACCAAGGGGGGGGCAAGUGUGAUGCACAGGUCUUCGCCGCCUCUCAUCCUCCCCAUCUCUAUCCUCGUUUCUAUGCUUGGUCAACAGAAGUGAAUAUAAAGU
This 762-nucleotide ribosomal RNA is filed under the name Auxis thazard (frigate tuna). RNAcentral describes it as "partial 12S ribosomal RNA". It matches the Rfam family "Bacterial small subunit ribosomal RNA", at positions 432 to 1282 of the family's 1533-position model. The record is from RNAcentral. Lineage: Eukaryota; Metazoa; Chordata; Actinopteri; Scombriformes; Scombridae.